UUUUCUCCAAGAUUUCUGGGAAACUCUCAAGGUUUCAAGUUUAAUGUGAAAGAAAUCUUAAGCAAGAAAUGGUAAAGGAAAUUUGUUUUUGAAAAGAAAUACGAGAUACCAAUAGUCUCAUUGCUUUUCUCAAAAGGCACAAAACAGGGCUGGGACUUUAUAUCUGAUAGGAAGCAGAUCAUGAGUCAUAUCCCAUGGUCUUGGAAGAAUUUCUUUGUUCACGGUUCAUAAUCAAAACAGCAAACAUUUUUCAAAAAUUGAGAAAACAUGGAAGUUUGUCGUUGAGGACCUUUGAAUUGCUCUCGGCGAAUUGAUUCCACUUCAUACUCGUGAGAUCCACCAACACUUUGAGCAUUAUCUAUAUCAUGAAAGUCUUCACUGCCGCCACCAAAUUCGAGUGUAAAGGUGUUGAGAUUUGCAUAAACUGGACUUACGCCACAGCAUUUGACCUUUUGAGGACCUUUGCCGAUAACCAACUGAUAGCGGAUGAAGAAGUCAAAUGAGACUGCUGCCCCAUCCGAUAACCCAAUAUUCCGACAAGGAUAAAAUCCAAGUAUGACAUGAUUUGAGUUUACGCACACGUUGUUGACCAAUUGGCAAAAGUGAUCGGACCCGAACUUACAUCCCACUCCGAAGAAAAUGGCAGGAGAAUAAGAAUCUUCCUCAAACUCAAAUUCAAUAGCAACACAUAGAGCAAACCCAAUGAAGAUUUUGCUACCACAACGAUGUGGCAGUUGAAUAGUUAUUAAAGAUCCUAUAGAUUGACUGCUGUACCAGUCUGGUACUUCACUUCCAGGUAAACAAAAGCUGAUUCCAUCAAAUUCCUGUAAAAUUAAAAUCAUGAUUUGAUUUUGGAUGUAAUUCAGGGGAGAGAUAAAGGGAAAUAGAUCGAAUUGCAUACCUUCUCAUAGAAUAGUCUUAGCGAUGCAAUUAUCAUAUGCCGAAUUCUUUUUUGCAAAUCUGCCCAAAUACUUUCAUUUAGUUUCAGGCAAUUAGCAAAUAUCAGUUGCACUGGAGACAUGUGCUUGGAUAGUCUUUCACCGGUGCGAUUGGAUAGUGCUUGCAAUAUGGAUGCAUCCAGUUCUUCUAGACAUGAUGUGAGUUCUGGCAAAAAUUGGAGCCGCUUGCAAUCACUUGCACCUAACAUUACCAAAAGCAGUGGAAGCUCUGGUAACGACUGAAGCUUGACGCAAUUGACCAAGUAAAGCCAUCUAAGCCGUGAAAGUUGGCUGAUACUUGUAGGUAAACUCUCAAAGUUAUUUCCACUCAGAUUUAAACUUUCCAAUGAUGAUAGACAGCCAAUAUCGGGAGGGAUUUCCAUUAUCUCACAGUCUCCUAGUUCUAGCUUUUUCAAAGAAGAUAAACCCGAUAAUAGUGGAGGCAAUACCAAACCCCUGCAUUCAAACAACGAAAGGGUUUCAAGUUUGUUUAAAUCAACAAUGGAGGAUGGUACCUGAGGAAUUGCCAAUAACCCUGCAUGAAGACGUUCCAAAGAUUUUAAAUUGCCCAAGCUCUCUGGCAAACUGCCAAGUUUAGUGCAACCAGUCAACUUUAACUGCUUAAGCCCUUCUAGAUUUUCGAUUGAAGAUGGCAGCUCUUUGAUAUUACUUGCCUCCUCUAAAUUAAUUUCUUCUAGUAGUUCCAUUUUCUCCAAGAUUUCUGGGAAACUCUCAAGGUUUAUACAAUAACUAAGAUCAAGGCUGCGAAGAGAUUUCAAUUUACAAAUGCUAGUUGAAAGCCUUUUAAGACUACAGCAAAAACUCAUUUCUAAGGUUUCAAGAUUGGGUAGGCACUCGAUUGAUAAGGGAACUUCUUCUAUUGGAGUACACAUUAGGUUUAGUUCUACUACAUUGCCUGAAAUCCUUGGAAACUCUCUGAGAUUAACACACUUGUAGCAAUCAAUCUUAAUGGAAGAUAUGAAAUGAAUGUUCUGCGGAAAGCACCUAAGACUUUCACAGCCAGCCAUAAUCAUGUUACCAAGUUUGUUAAAAUUCUGGACGUACGAGGGAAUGUGAGCCAAGCCUGUGCAAUUCCAAAAAUUCAUUCUCUCGAGAUUUGGAGUUUCUGAUGGCUCUGGGAUUCUAGUGAGAUUGGUUGAGUGAUUGAGGUCAACAUAUUUUAACUUUGGAGCUUUCUACAAAAGGAAAUGAAGAAUAUUACCAAGCAUCAAAAGAAAUAUAUUUAAGGAAGUAUAAACAAAUGUUUACCUUUUUUCCUUCCCAGAUUUGCUCAACUUUACUAUAAGGAAAGUUGAGUUCGAUAAGAUUCUGAGGGACAAAAUCCAAUGGCAAAGUUUUCAAAGGAUAUCCAUGCCAGUAAAGAUAUCUUAAUUCCUCAGGAAGAUAUUCUAAACCUUGUUGAAGGUACACUUUAGAACUCAUUUUCGAAAUGUCAAAGUGUCCCGAGAUAUAGAAUUUAAGCAAUCUAAGAUUAGACAUAUUUGAAAAUACUCUAGGGUCUAGAUUUAUUUCUUCGAUUUUCGACAAAUCUAAGAAUAUGCUUUUAAUUGCAUCAGUCCCCUGGUAAACAAAAGAAAGAAUGAGUUAGCAUGAAAUGCACAAAAACGGUCAUUAAGAUUGUUUUCAACGGAAACAAAAAUUUGAAUGGGUCGAUUUUUCUUUAUCCAACAUAUAUUUGUAACAAUUAAAAGAAAAGCAAAUUUAUCAAGCUUUCAAGUACCUUGUUUUUCUCCAAUACAUGACAAACAUCCUUGUAAUCCCACAACCGGCUACGUUUUUCUGGCUUUUCUCUAAAUUCUUCAGCAAAAACUCAUUUCUAAGGUUUCAAGAUUGGGUAGGCACUCGAUUGAUAAGGGAACUUCUUCUAUUGGAGUACACAUUAGGUUUAGUUCUACUACAUUGCCUGAAAUCCUUGGAAACUCUCUGAGAUUAACACACUUGUAGCAAUCAAUCUUAAUGGAAGAUAUGAAAUGAAUGUUCUGCGGAAAGCACCUAAGACUUUC
Molecule: long non-coding RNA, 2962 nt
Filed under: Citrus sinensis (sweet orange)
Lineage: Eukaryota; Viridiplantae; Streptophyta; Magnoliopsida; Sapindales; Rutaceae
Description: long non-coding RNA (CSIN_LNC000366)
Source: RNAcentral